UACGAGGGGGGCAAGUGUUGUUCGGAAUUACUGGGCGUAAAGCGUGCGCAGGCGGUUUGGUAAGACAGGUGUGAAAUCCCCGGGCUCAACCUGGGAAUGGCAUUUGUGACUGCCCGGCUAGAGUGUGUCAGAGGGGGGUAGAAUUCCACGUGUAGCAGUGAAAUGCGUAGAGAUGUGGAGGAAUACCGAUGGCGAAGGCAGCCCCCUGGGAUGACACUGACGCUCAUGCACGAAAGCGUGGGGAGCAAACAGG
This 253-nucleotide ribosomal RNA is filed under the name uncultured bacterium. RNAcentral describes it as "partial 16S ribosomal RNA". It matches the Rfam family "Bacterial small subunit ribosomal RNA", at positions 524 to 776 of the family's 1533-position model. The record is from RNAcentral.